Molecule: ribosomal RNA, 460 nt
Filed under: uncultured bacterium
Lineage: Bacteria
Description: partial 16S ribosomal RNA
Rfam family: Bacterial small subunit ribosomal RNA
Source: RNAcentral
CCUACGGGCGGCAGCAGUGAGGAAUAUUGGUCAAUGGCCGAGAGUCUGAACCAGCCAAGCAGCGUGAAGGACGACUGUGCCAAGCGUUGUAAACUUCUUUUAUCAAGGGACAAAGUCGGCCUCGAGAGCCUGACCGCAGGUACUGGAUGAAUAAGCAUCGGCUAACUCCGUGCCAGCAGCCGCGGUAAUACGGAGGGUUCGGGCGUUAUCCGGAUUUAUUGGGUUUAAAGGGUGCGUAGGCGGGACUUUAAGUCUGCGGUGAAAUCUCGUGGCUCAACCCUGGGAGUGCGGCGCAAACUGGAGGCCUUGAGAGCGCGGAAGGCAGGCGGAAUGCGUGGUGUAGCGGUGAAAUGCUUAGAUAUCGCGAAGAACCCCGAUUGCGAAGGCAGCAUGCCGGAGCGGUACUGACGCUGAGGCACGAAAGCGCGGGUAUCGAACAGGAUUAGAUACCCUUGUAGUC